Molecule: ribosomal RNA, 277 nt
Filed under: uncultured bacterium
Lineage: Bacteria
Description: partial 16S ribosomal RNA
Rfam family: Bacterial small subunit ribosomal RNA
Source: RNAcentral
GACAAACGCUGGCGGCGUGCCUAACACAUGCAAGUCGCACGUCCUCUCUGAUUUCGGUCAGGGAGGGAGUGGCGGACGGGUGAGUAAUACGUGGGUACCUGCCCAUAGGUGAGGAAUACCGGCGAGAAAUCGCUGACAAUACCGCAUACGCUUCGCAAGAAGCAAAGCUAUCCGCAAGGAUAGCGCCUGUGGAGGGGCCUGCGUCCGAUUAGCUGGCUGGUGGGGUAAUGGCUCACCAGGGCGACGAUCGGUAGCUGGUCUGAGAGGAUGAUCAGCC